UUGUAGCUCAGUCGGCAAGAGUGCCUGAUUGUGGAUCAGGAGGUCGAGGGUUCGAGCCCCUCCAUU
Molecule: transfer RNA, 66 nt
Filed under: bovine gut metagenome
Rfam family: tRNA
About the family: Transfer RNA (tRNA) molecules are approximately 80 nucleotides in length. Their secondary structure includes four short double-helical elements and three loops (D, anti-codon, and T loops).
Source: RNAcentral